This 584-nucleotide ribosomal RNA is filed under the name uncultured bacterium. Its description in RNAcentral is "partial 16S ribosomal RNA". It matches the Rfam family "Bacterial small subunit ribosomal RNA", at positions 355 to 1375 of the family's 1533-position model. The record is from RNAcentral.
UGGGGAAUUUUGGACAAUGGGCGAAAGCCUGAUCCAGCAAUGCCGCGUGUGUGAAGAAGGCCUUCGGGUUGUAAAGCACUUUUGUCCGGAAAGAAAUCCUUGGCUCUAAUACAGUCGGGGGAUGACGGUACCGGAAGAAUAAGCACCGGCUAACUACGUGCCAGCAGCCGCGGUAAUACGUAGGGUGCAAGCGUUAAUCGGAAUUACUGGGCGUAAAGCGUGCGCAGGCGGUUUGCUAAGACCGAUGUGAAAUCCCCGGGCUCAACCUGGGAACUGCAUUGGUGACUGGCAGGCUAGAGUAUGGCAGAGGGGGGUAGAAUUCCACGUGUAGCAGUGAAAUGCUAGAGAUGUGGAGGAAUACCGAUGGCGAAGGCAGCCCCCUGGGCCAAUACUGACGCUCAUGCACGAAAGCGUGGGGAGCAAACAGGAUUAGAUACCCUGGUAGUCCACGCCCUAAACGAUGUCAACUAGUUGUUGGGGAUUCAUUUCCUUAGUAACGUAGCUAACGCGUGAAGUUGACCGCCUGGGGAGUACGGUCGCAAGAUUAAAACUCAAAGGAAUUGACGGGGUCAUAGCUGUUUCCU